RNAcentral lists this ribosomal RNA (254 nucleotides) under uncultured bacterium. RNAcentral describes it as "partial 16S ribosomal RNA". It matches the Rfam family "Bacterial small subunit ribosomal RNA", at positions 524 to 776 of the family's 1533-position model. The record is from RNAcentral.
UACGGGGGGAGCAAGCGUUGUUCGGAUUUACUGGGCGUAAAGGGCGCGUAGGCGGUCGUGACAAGUCACUUGUGAAAUCUCCGGGCUUAACUCGGAACGGUCAAGUGAUACUGUCGGACUAGAGUGCGGAAGGGGCUACUGGAAUUCUCGGUGUAGCGGUGAAAUGCGUAGAUAUUGGGAGGAACACCAGUGGCGAAGGCGGCUCACUGGACCGGUUCUGACGCUGAGGCGCGAAAGCGUGGGGAGCAAACGGG